GUGAAAUCUUGAAGCGAAAUCUUGAAGCAAACGCCGUUCUCAGAGGACAAAUUUCUGGAUAUUGCCGGAUUCGAGUGUGGAGGGUCUCGCGUUCACAUGAGUGUAGCCUUUUUUGAGAGGGAGCGAAACGCGACUCUUUUGCACGGAGUGAGAAAAGCAGAUCCGACUGCACAAGGGCAGAGAACCGGGACGUUGGGCAGCGGAUCUGGACGGCGUGUAAGUCAAUCAGGGGGAGGAAAUUGCCAUAUUGAGUGGCCGGGCUCCUGCCUGCACGAUGCACGUUGUUCCGGUACGAUAUUGAGUUUUUAUUUCCGUCCUGCCUCUGUCCUACACUUUCCCGCCAAGUCACCGGCACGUCUGUUGCCGAAACACACCACUGGCCAGCGCGAGGACUGCAGGAUCGAUGUCCUGCCCCCCGGGGGUGGUGUGUGGGGAUAGGGGAGGUGGAGGAUAGUACCCAGGUCUUGCUUCUCAGUGGCUGUGGCACAGAAGGAGUGUGACUAGAGUUGCAGAGGAACACGGUGGUCGUACAGGUCACGAAAGGUCAACGCGGCUGCCCAGACACUAAGCUGCAUUUGAAAGAUUUUCCAGACUCCGAUCAGGUGUCGUGUACAUUCUACGUCGCUGUCGUUGUUUGUGAGACGAUGUCGAGGACAGAGUAUAGAGAAGGACAGUAUGAAAUAAAAGUCAUGUCGAGGGUCAAU
RNAcentral lists this long non-coding RNA (704 nucleotides) under Pomacea canaliculata. RNAcentral's name for it is "uncharacterized LOC112576701, transcript variant X2". Lineage: Eukaryota; Metazoa; Mollusca; Gastropoda; Architaenioglossa; Ampullariidae. The record is from RNAcentral.